AAUUUUACAAUUUAAGAAAAUAAAAUUUAUAUAUACAAAAUUUCAAAUAUUUAUUAAUCAUAAUUUUUAAUUACAACUAAUAAAUUUACCACCAAAAUUAUAUAUUUUUGUAAUCUACAGAGCCAAAAAGUUACCGCCAAAAUUCUACAGCUACAGCUUACACACUUACAGCUAAAAUUCUACAGCAAAAAAUUUACAGUUACAGUCUAACCAAUCACCCACAAUAUAUAGUAUAAACCAAAAGUUGCCGAAAAUUCUGUAGCAAAUGAGUACUAUUGGAUCAAAGUUACUUUGUUCAUUAUUUACAAGUC
RNAcentral lists this small RNA (311 nucleotides) under Arabidopsis thaliana (thale cress). RNAcentral describes it as "ATSL219670". Lineage: Eukaryota; Viridiplantae; Streptophyta; Magnoliopsida; Brassicales; Brassicaceae. The record is from RNAcentral.